Molecule: small RNA, 28 nt
Filed under: Bombyx mori (domestic silkworm)
Lineage: Eukaryota; Metazoa; Arthropoda; Insecta; Lepidoptera; Bombycidae
Description: ovarian small RNA-26748
Source: RNAcentral
UCCAGAAUGGUGUGUGGACUUACUGGGA